GCACUGCUGAUGAGUCCCAUAAUAGGACGAAACGGCCGUCCAGUGC
This is a non-coding RNA of Schistosoma mansoni, 46 nucleotides long. Lineage: Eukaryota; Metazoa; Platyhelminthes; Trematoda; Strigeidida; Schistosomatidae. The record is from Rfam.